RNAcentral lists this long non-coding RNA (7068 nucleotides) under Fragaria vesca (wild strawberry). RNAcentral's name for it is "long non-coding RNA (FVES_LNC000565)". The record is from RNAcentral. Lineage: Eukaryota; Viridiplantae; Streptophyta; Magnoliopsida; Rosales; Rosaceae.
AAACCUUCGCCCCACCAUUAUAUAACAAGCGUUAGUCACUUGGUCCUCUCCUUUUCUCAUAAUCAAAAACAAAAAAUAGAAAAAUUGGGUGAGAGUUGGGAUGUCGAACCUUCCAAAUUCCAGAAACGCAAUCGAUCAACAUGAAGGUGAGUUCGUGGCUUGUUAAUUCGCUCUAUACAAUUUGGUUGUUACGAUGUUCUGAUUUGAAUUUGUUUGUCAACAACCACAGAUGUCAGGGUUGGGAUGUCGAACCUUGCAAUUUCUGGAGACGCAAUCGAUCAACAACAGCAAGGUGAUGAAUUCACAAUCUAUCAUUUGUUUGUUACAGGCUUUUUAAUCAGUAAUUCGAUUUGAAUUUCUUUAUCAACAACUUUAGAUCUCAGACCUCGCCAUCAAAUCCCAAUUUUUUAUUUAUUAAUUUUUUUCGGUUCUAACAUCGCAAACCCCUAAUCAAACCCCUAAUUUUGGUGAAUGAAUCACAUGUUGGCAAAAGCUGCACUACGGGCGUCGUACCGUACUCCUGACGGAGUCGUUAACAGAAGGGUAUUUUUGCGAUUUCCAGUCGUCACGGUAACUAUCUAAUUUUACUGCGAGAGUGGAGGACGGGAGAGAAUUUGGGCGAAAUCGCCAGAUUUCGAAGGAUUCGAAGAUAGUGUGGGAUCUGGAAUUCGAAACGCAGAGAGAUUAGAUACGAAGCUCAGUGCUGAGAGAAGAAUCGAAUCAAUUCCGAAGGAUUCGAAGAUAUAGUCUGGAUCUGGAAUAAAAAACCCAGAGAGAUUAGAAACGAAGCUCAGUCCACUUUUCACCAAUGUGCAGGAAGACCUUGAGAUAGACAAAAGCCUCGAAGGUUCUCCUAACGCAGUCUCGCAAACAUUUGAGAUCACAUUGUAAGCAAAUACCUUGAUCUUUUCCAUCUGCUUAAUCUUUACAUGCUAUUCAAGGUUUCCUAAAGGGAAAAUCUACUUGCCUCAGUUUGGAUUAUACUGCUUGGAGUCAUGCUCUCUAGCUGACCACAUAUAUAAUUGAUAUGUCAAGCAGCAGAUCAACAAUAUAUAUCAGAUUAUCUAAUAUGAUCACUAAAUCUGGUUGCUUUGGUCGUAGCACUGCAUGUCUGUAUGUGCAUUUGACAAUUUCACUCUGAAAAUAAAUCAUUUACAUUGAUAUAGUAAAAUCAUUAGUAGCUGCCACAGUUUUAGGCCAUGCUACCAUUCACAACAGUAGCACCACGCUUCACAUGCUACUGUACUGAUGCAGCCCUUGCCAUGCUCACCAUACUGAACUUUGCUUGCUUGCUGUAGAUUUACACUGAUCACCAUAUCAUGAUGCUUUAUCAGAUGACUACAAGUCUGAUAUAUGAAAUUUUUUAUUUCAUAAAUCAAUAGCUUCUAUUUGAGGGCAUUGUGCUUCGUGAAAGGAAUGGUCCAAAGUGUUUUUCCUUUAGAAGUUCAGUGUUACCAAUGCUCCUCUAAUAUUUACUAGUGAAUUCAAGAUGGCAACAAAUCUGAUAUAGGGAUGCUUGAUAAAGAAAAUUUGAUUGUUGUGUUUAGAGGCACAUGGUGCCCGGUGUUAGGAAUGAACCUUAGUGGCUUUUGGUUGACUUCAAUACCGGAAAAGUUUCAUUGUUCAUCUGUGUUGUACUUACAACAAUGUUCUAGUAGUUUUUACAUACACUUGCAUCUGCAUUCUUUUAGGGUUGUGUAACAAAUUCUAGUAUAGGUUUUGAUAUACCUAGUUAGAUGCGCCCUCUUCCAGAUAAGUACGUAUAUUGUAAUGAUCUUCUACUUUCCUAAUACUAAAGCGGCCAAUCCUUUGUCUGUUCAGGUCACAAAUUACCAUGUAGUAGCUAGAUUGAUCAAACCAGAUUACAGCGUUGUAACGUUCUUGUCCUUUAAUUCGAGCUAUGAGCUUUUGUCAAAUUAUUAUAACCCUUAUCGUGUGGAGGACAUGGAUAUGGAUCACAAUGUGUUAUAUGCAAAGGAAUGUUCAUCAGGAUUGGGUUACCUUGCCCAUAGAGUAUUUAUGACUGAUAAAUACAUACCUGAAUCUUGUUGCAUUAUUGGGAAUUAUUACAGCUUAAAAGGGCUGCAUGAGAAAGCAGUUCUGUACUUUAGGAGCACUCAAACUAGAUAGAAAUUAUUUAUCUGCUUGGACCCUUAUGUGUCAUGAAUUUAUUGAGAUGAAAAGCACACCAGCUGCUGUUGACGCAUAUCCGCAGUAGAUAUAAAUUUUAAGUGAUUAUCAUGCUUGGUAUGGAUUAAGACAGGCUUAUGAGAUGAUGGGUAUCAGGGGUAUGCCCUUUUAUGCUCUUCAUUACUUCCGGAAAUCAGUAUUUUUAUUGCCAUGGCUCAUUGUUAUCAAACUGGUCAGCUGAAUAUGAUUGAUGAAGCACAGAAGUGUUACAAAAGGGCAGCAGAUUGUAAUGACAGGGAAUCCCUGAACGCGCUAGCUAAGCUAUAUGCUGAUGAAGGACGUAUGGAAGAGGCAGUUUUUUUACUACAAGGAUCUGGAGAGGAUGGAAGAUGAAGAGAGGGAAGGACCCAAUAUGGUUGAAACUAUCUUCUUUCUUGCUAAAUACUUCAGAGAGCAGAAAAAGUUUGAAGAAGCUGAGGUCAACUGUACCCAUCUUAUGAAUUAUACCGGUCCAGUGAUUGUUAUAUCUUUCUCUUAUAUGCUUAACCAAAUAUAUUUAACCCCAAUAUAACUUUCAAAAUUAUGAGUCAGUCGUAAGUAAUUGUUAUUUCUUUGUCCAUCACUGCAGGAAAAAGAAAGAGCGAGAAGUUUACUCCGCGGAAUCAGAAUGGAACAAACUGGUUCUCCUUCCAUGUAUAUUGAGCGCUUUUUUCCUUUAUUUCUUGUCACUUGUCAGGAUAUAUUACAUGGAUCAACUUCAUAAGAGAUGGGAGUUGCAAUUGAGCAUAGCUUGGGUUUUGUCGUUGCUGCAGAACAUUUUAGUCUCUUUAGUAACUGCUAAGUUUAAGGUUUAACGGUGUGAUUGCUGUAGAAAGUUCAAUCCAACUCUAGCACUCCAGUCUUCUCUAGUCUUCUACUGUAAGUUAAAACUUUAAUUUGAAAGGUAUUCCCUACUCCCAGUUGUGUUAUUCUUGCCUUGUGUUGAUUUUUCAAGCCGACUGAAUUGUAAUCAGAAAGUAUUAUUACGAUCAUUAUUUGCUCAUCUUCUGUGUGGUACAUAUAUAGUCAUGAACUUCAUAUGUUGCUAAGUAACAAUUGCAUACUGGUGACACUAAAAUAAAUUUACGAAGGACAAGUAAUGCGUAGGAGUACCGAGUUUUAUCUUGAUUUAUUAAAAAGGUCAGAAGCAUAGGUAAAGAACAUCUGAAGUCUAUCAGCAACCAAAAACAACAUAAAGUAAUGGUUAAGGAAAUAUCCACCAUUAAAAUCCAAAUUCAGGUUACAUAAUCAUCCUCUGAAUUUAUUUCCAUUGUUCACCCCAGACAACCGGGUUAAUUUUAACACAACCACUACAGUUCCAGUUGCCAAAAGCAAUUUUGAAUCACCAUCUCUGAUGAUUCCCCUUUUCAUUAUGAUUUCAAUCAUUUAGCUGGGUCAGUGAAGCAGCUGUUGAUUCCUGGCCUGAUUUCCGGGGACUUGCCGCAGACAAAUUUCCUCGGCAUAUUUUCCGGAUACUUUUCUCCCUCAUCGAAAUUAUCCAAUACUCCGGUGGCCCUGUUCUCCUUGGCACUCUGAUCCAGUAAUAUAGAAAAAAAAAACAAAAAAAAACACACUAUUAUCUAUACAUCUAUGGAAGGAUCAUUCAACUGUGUAUCAAGUUCAUAAUUUGAUACUCAAAAGCCCCUCUUUUUAGUUUCACAACCUUCCAAUUCCCAAUUUGAUUUCAUCAAAUAAAGAUUUAACCCCAACAAAUUGCUGGUUUGUAUAUACAUAUAUAUCACUAUGUAAACAUGUUUGAUCCAUAAGUUACACUUGCGCAUACAAAUAUGUAGAUAGGAAAGCCAAUGUAUAUUUAUAUGCCAUUCCAUAACUACAUCCAUAAACACCAGCAUAUAUAUCCAAGUUCCAAGACAAAAAGAAAAAGCUAAAAUUUCAGGUCAAUAUUCUCUCCACUCAUUUAAAUUAAUGUAUCAUGCACUUGUGUGGUUCCUUCCAAAUACCACCUUCGUUUCAAGCAUCAAUAAUCAUAAAAGACGCAAAAUCUUAAGAGAGCAAUGCAAAGGUAAUAUGUCUAAAUCCAGAAAACCUUAAACGCAAAAGACCUUAUACCUUAAAGAUAUACAUAGACUGAAGGGGAAUGGGCCUUUUUUAUGCCAAGGAGGAUAACAAACGCGAGACUUCCUUAGAAUAGGAGAACUUUUUUAUUUUCGGAUCAAGCUCAUGUAGUGCUGCAUCAACAUACCCCACAAUGCUCUACAAAUUUAGUCUCAAUCAUAAAUACAAUAAACACUUUAGCAAUGGGAAUAAGAUUCGAGGUUAACUAACCAUGUCCAACUUUAUUAAUGGAAAGUUCAUUUGGCUGCUUUAGGCUACCAUCAUCCCCAAAAGCUUUCUCUGCCAAAAUUAAAAGUGCCAUAUACACAAAAAACAACAUAAUUAUCAAAUGGAUAUAGCUAAACUUGCCCCAAGACUCAGAGUUGCAGAACAUUUAAGACUAAAGUGAACAUAUGUACUCACCUUCGAAGAAAAACGAAAUCUUGUCGACACUUCGUAGAAAUAAUUUUCAGUCGACUGUUGCUGCAAGAAGCAACAGGAAACAAUUGGGUAAAUUUGAUUGAAAAUUGGCUCGCCUUUACUUUCAGGCAAGAAAAGGACUGAAAAUUUACUUAAGAUAAAUGUGAUUACGGUCAAUACAUGGUUCUUGGUAGAGAAAAUAGAGCGGUGGCAGAGCAGUCAAAGUCGUGGAGCAAUUGGUCCAUCCUGCAAUUGUAUCUGUAGUGGAUCAAAGAUUUCAAGCGACAGAUACCAAAAUUAUCCUGGAAAUUUAUCGUCCAAACUCAAAAGGGGUACCUUUGAUGCAGGCUCUACGCUGGCUAGGUCCUAAUAGAACUCUAGAACCUCUGGUAGUUGGUCAGCAAGAACCUACAGUACAUCAAGUAAAAUUCAGUAUAACACAGCUGUGAUGCAUACUAUGCUAAUUUAGAAGUAUAAUCAAACAAAUAUGAUUUUUCACGAAGAGUUCCUCAUAACAAGGUUAUGCAUAUAAAAACAUCAGCCCACAACUUAUUUCAGUAUAUAUGUGCUGAUUUAUACUAGUACUCAAUAUGCAUACGAUAAGAACAUAUAUAGCAACUGAUGCACAUGAACACACAAAGACAACUUAUAGAAAUGAUGAAAUCAUAUAUAGACCAAGAAGCUGCUUCCCGCAGUCUUACCCUGUGCUGUCCCUUGGUUCAAGGCAUUCCCUAGGGAAAGAAUUGUCUGCAUAACUCUUUUCAGUUUGACUGAAUUUCUGAUCUGAUGAGAAGCAUAAGCUAUUAGCUGGAUGAGGUGUAAUAUAUUAAUGAUUAGCAUGAGUGGUUUGAAGGGACAAAAAUCUAAUCAGAGUUUACAACAUUUAGGCUUUUCCUAAGGUCAGAAACCAACAUGGCCAACACAAUACCUUAAGUAUUGUGUAAAACCCAAAUCAUAUGACUGUUAGGUGAUAUAUUUGAUAUUCACCUGGGAAGAGAACCGUAUCUUGAAGGAAAAAACUCAGAGCUUAAUUAGAUUCCACUCGAGGUACUUUCAUUAACUCUUAACAGGAACUGCCAUCAACAUUCUGUGAAAGUCUGGGAGUAUACAUCAAACCUCAUAUGACAUACUCUCGGAUUACUAUCGCUAUAAACAAGACCAGUUCACAUAAUGAAAUAUAAACUAAACCAGAACCAUAUAGCAGGCUAUGAUUAUUGCAUCAAUUUUCCUCUAAUUGAAGAUGUGCAAGGUUCUAUCUACAAUGAUAAUCACCAGCUAAAUCUUCACUGUCUGUUGCCCAUCUAAAACUAUUGAAAUGUAGCUACCAAUGGAAAUGGAUCAACUGAGAGCUUGUUUUCUCAGCAAAUUUCAUGAUGCUUUAUCAUUCACAUCUGAAUAGGCAGCUUGUUAUUGCAGCCAUCUUAGUAAUUUACAUCUACGAAUCUAGAACAACGAGUUUACAUCACAACUGAUAUCAAAUACUCUCGGGUUAGAUGCUCUAUAAACUAACAAUUCAGAUAACUGACAGGUGCACACAUGCUUAGACUAAACCAGAGACAUACACAACGCUAUGCAAUCAUCUGUUCAUGACUCAAUUCAUUCGGAGUCGGCUGUUAAUCUAAUCUAAAAAACAUGAACACAACUCUUACCUCCGAAGGGAACGCGGUCUGAUUUCCACCUUCAACAUCCCAUUCAUCAAUUCAUCGAUUUCAAACUUGGGAUCAAAAAACGCCUUCAAUUUCGAAAUCGUGCACAACGCUCUGCUCUGGGUUGAAGCCUCUUUCGAUUUUGAACUUGUGCACGACGCUUUGCUUGCCGCUAGUUCGCCUUCUCGAUAGCGGAGACGUGGUUGCUCUUUCCUUUUCCUACUUCGCCUUCUCUGGCUGAUCUCCAUGCAGCGUGUAUUAAUCCCUCCUUUUUCACCGCGUCGGCAUGUUAUAGACUCACCAGACGCCGUCGACAUCCACGGGAAUGGCCGUCAUCCGAGAAAUUCCAUUGUUGUCCCUCCAAUAUUGUCUCUGCCAAUGAAAAGAGGCCACGCGUCUCGGGACCACAUUGGCGUGCCAGACUUCGGCGUAGUCCAGCGCUUUCCUCAUAUGUUUUUAUUUUGGUGAAAUUAUGGAUCAUAUUUUGGUGAAAUCAUAAUCAUAUGGUAUGUUGAUGGAUUGAUGCAAUUUGCACACAAUUUGAUGCAAAUUUGAAAUUGAUGCAAAUGGCCGGGUCAUAUGUAUUUGCAGGUGUCGAAACAUCUGAGAGGGGAGGGUGGAAUGUACAUAAAGGUGAUCAAAUGGAUGAAGCUGAACUCAGGCGAUAUCUUGCUCUUAUCGCGGAAAAAACUCAGGAAGAGCAGCGCUUGUGGUCAGAGUAUGUUGCGGAGAUGCACAGACAACGUCGCAGACCUCGGGAUCGUGCCGAUAUGCGCAG